Molecule: small RNA, 133 nt
Filed under: Anaerococcus vaginalis ATCC 51170
Lineage: Bacteria; Bacillati; Bacillota; Tissierellia; Tissierellales; Peptoniphilaceae
Description: Streptococcus sRNA SpR18
Rfam family: Streptococcus sRNA SpR18
Source: Rfam by way of RNAcentral
UUACAAGCUAUAAAGAGAAUGGGAAAUUGAUACUGGUACUCAAAUGGUACUGUAAGUAAAAAAAGAAUAACUUGAAUAAUAGUUCCAAGUGGUUUACAUUUGGACAAAAAAUUGAGAAUGUGAAUUAUUUUGA